UUUUCUUCAAGAGAGAGUUCAACCGGACGUGGCCCUUUCUUGUUGGUUUCGCUGUAACUGGAACUAUCAUCACCAAGUUCUCCCUCGGUCUCACUGAGGAAGAUGCGAAGAAUUCGCCUUUCGCUCAGAAGCACAAGAGGUGAUCCCAAUUGAAUUCAAAUGCUCAUCUGGUUUGAGGCUUUUGGUUGUUUCCAUUCUUUUCUUUUUUUCAAUUAACUACAAAAAUAACAUAGGACAUCAUCAGUUGUGAGUAUUCUACUCAUGAAUUGUUAUUCUUGUAUUGCCAUUAAGGUUUUUUUGCCUUUGAACAAUGUUAAAACACCUUUUCAACCGUCUUCAGGCCUGGUAUCCUUUGACAUUGGAUGAUCAUUUUGAGAAUAAUAAUAAACAUGACAAUUUAUGCCACUGUUUGCCAAUUUAUUUGUCAUGAACUUGUGACGGAUAAGGAUGCAGAACUUGCGUAUCUUUGUUCCUAGUUUUAUGAGGCCAUCGACCUAUACAUUUUUUCAAGUUUUAUACUUUUAAUUUAUUCCAACAGAGACACAUCCAGUGGACUCAUAGAUGCUAAAGUUUUACAUUUGGAACAUACCAUGUCCGAGACAUAACAGCAACUGCGAGUUUGUGCCCCAAACCCCCAACUGUCAGUGGUUUGCCGCUAAACAAAAUGCAAUGGUGGAUAAGUGAGCGGUUGUCUCGUUGGCAAGAAAAUUUUAAACAACUACAUUCCUUUCAGUUUAGGGUAUCGGACACAGAG
Gossypium arboreum is the source of this 754-nucleotide RNA transcript. It is a transcript of the gene named ATP synthase small subunit 6, mitochondrial-like, with no coding region annotated. The record is from RefSeq and is a predicted model, not a curated record. NCBI's taxonomy places the organism in Eukaryota, Viridiplantae, Streptophyta, Magnoliopsida, Malvales, Malvaceae. The transcript has 4 exons.